RNAcentral lists this non-coding RNA (23 nucleotides) under Arabidopsis thaliana (thale cress). The record is from RNAcentral. Lineage: Eukaryota; Viridiplantae; Streptophyta; Magnoliopsida; Brassicales; Brassicaceae.
UCUUUAAAAGACCUUUGUAAAUC